RNAcentral lists this ribosomal RNA (468 nucleotides) under uncultured bacterium. RNAcentral's name for it is "partial 16S ribosomal RNA". It matches the Rfam family "Bacterial small subunit ribosomal RNA", at positions 28 to 507 of the family's 1533-position model. The record is from RNAcentral.
GACGAACGCUGGCGGCGUGCUUAACACAUGCAAGUCGAACGGAAAGGCCCUGCUCUUGCUGUGUGCUCGAGUGGCGAACGGGUGAGUAACACGCGUGUAACCUGUCCCUUACUUUGGGAUAACUCCAGGAAACUCGGGCUAAUAUCGGAUAUGAGCUCCUGCUGCACGGUGGGGGUUGGAAAGUUUCGGCGGUUGGGGAUGGACUUGAGGCUUUUCAGCUUGUUGGUGGGGUAGUGGCUUACUAAGGCUUCGACGGGUAGCCGGCCUGAGAGGGUGACCGGCCACAUUGGGACUCAGGAAGCACCAAGACUCAUACGGGGGGCAUGGGUGGAGAAUAUUGCGAGCUGGGCGGAGGCAUGAUGGAACGACGUCGGGUGCGAGAUGACGGCCUUCGGGUUAUAACCCGUUUUCGCCUGUAACGAUGCGUGUGUGACGGUAAUGGAUAAGAAAGCAACGGCUAACUACGUG